Molecule: ribosomal RNA, 550 nt
Filed under: uncultured bacterium
Lineage: Bacteria
Description: partial 16S ribosomal RNA
Rfam family: Bacterial small subunit ribosomal RNA
Source: RNAcentral
UGGGGAAUUUUGGACAAUGGGCGAAAGCCUGAUCCAGCAAUGCCGCGUGUGUGAAGAAGGCCUUCGGGUUGUAAAGCACUUUUGUCCGGAAAGAGAUCCUUGGCUCUAAUACAGUCGGGGGAUGACGGUACCGGAAGAAUAAGCACCGGCUAACUACGUGCCAGCAGCCGCGGUAAUACGUAGGGUGCAAGCGUUAAUCGGAAUUACUGGGCGUAAAGCGUGCGCAGGCGGUUUGCUAAGACCGAUGUGAAAUCCCCGGGCUCAACCUGGGAACUGCAUUGGUGACUGGCAGGCUAGAGUAUGGCAGAGGGGGGUAGAAUUCCACGUGUAGCAGUGAAAUGCGUAGAGAUGUGGAGGAAUACCGAUGGCGAAGGCAGCCCCCUGGGCCAAUACUGACGCUCAUGCACGAAAGCGUGGGGAGCAAAACAGGAUUAGAUACCCUGGUAGUCCACGCCCUAAAACGAUGUCAAACUAGUUGUUGGGGAUUCAUUUCCUUAGUAACGUAGCUAACGCGUGAAGUUGACCGCCUGGGGAGUACGGUCGCAAGAUU